UUCACACCUGCCUCUCUGGGAAGGAGCCCCGUUUCUCAGGGGACACAACAGAGAAUGUGCUGGAUUGUCUUGGAAAGGUCGUGUUGGCUCUCUCACAACCUCUCAACUCUGCUCUGCAAUGCACAAGCAGCCAGAGAUAAUGCAUGCAAGACUGUGCUCCAAGACAACUGUGUUUACAAAGACAGGAGGCAGCCAGGUUUGUCCCUCAAGCUGUCACAUGUCGGCCUGCGACGUAUGGAAAACAAUGGUCAAAACAAAUGAAGAGCAGCCAUGUGAUGAAUGUCAGCAAUCAAAUAUUUAGUGAAAAAGUACAAUUGCUCACUACAUGUUACUCUUUCCGAAAGUUAAAAACUGCACCAAUCCAACAGUAUAACACAUGAAUACAUAUUUAGAAAUACACAUAAAUGGAAUAAAAGUACAUACGAGGGAAGAAUGAACACUGCACUCAGGCAGAGUUUGCCCUUGGGGGAAUGGAGAAAUCAGGGGGUGGGUUAGACAGGACCAUGUUCUUAGACAGAUGUCAUGAUCAAGACCCUAGCAGGGACUUAGGGAAGUGUGUUUAUGGGCUCUUCUUAGAUUACUGCAGAAUGAUGGAUCCUGUUCUUUGUACUUGAGAUGCACCAAAAAGAGAAAGAAA
Molecule: long non-coding RNA, 637 nt
Filed under: Homo sapiens (human)
Lineage: Eukaryota; Metazoa; Chordata; Mammalia; Primates; Hominidae
Description: HSALNT0279181
Source: RNAcentral